UUUGGUUUAAAGAUGUCAUGAUGUUCACCAAGGCAGAGAAGAAAUGUUUUAAAGUUGUCCCUUCAAUUGAAACAAGUAUGACUUGGUCCUUAGUGCCUAUGCAGACAUGAAAACGGAAGGUCGAGAGGUUUAAAUAUGUCAUGAUGUUUACAAUUGCGGAUAUCCUGCUUCAGGUACUUGCCUGAUAACUCACAAUUUCAACACAGAAGUUACUAAUCUAUAAGACAUGCCCUCUCUCGUUCAAUGAUGUCCUGAAAUUUUCACACAAAGCUUUGUAAUCUUGCCAAGUCACAAGAGAGCCAAGUAAUCAUGCGAAUUUUCAGAGAACUUCAAGUGGCAUGCCACCAUUUGCAAUGGUUGUGAUGUAGUGAUAAUUAAUAAACUGCAGGCCUUCUAAAUAUUCUAAAGUUGCAUAUCUAAGAGCAUAUUAUAUUUCUCAUAAACAACUGGAGUUAAGCUUCUAUCCUCUUCCUGUCUUGAAGGAAUUAUCUGUUGAGUAAGCUACAGUCUCUUUGUUUGACUAGCUAGGCUGUGUUACAUACAUGUAUAAGAUGAUGCUUUUGUGGCUAUAACUGGUGCCUGCCGCGCUAAAUAGGAAACACCCUAUUAAUUACCCACCUCAAUUUCAUUAGUGCGUCCGGCCUGUGAAUUUUACCCCAGACUAUAAAUCCCCUCCAAACGAAACCCUAUAGGUGUACUAUGACUCUUAAUAGUGUAUCCUUAUAGAAGUCAGUGUGUUGGGUUAUUUUUUGGUGUGGUUAGAGAACUCGACUCCAUUUGGAAUGAGGGUUUGAGUCUUAUUUUUCCUAAACCUUUGAGAGGCAGAGCCAUGGAAAUAUUUUGUGCUCUCAUUCCUCUGGAUGGAAGCUCUAACUUUUCCUCUUUGUUUCCAAUAAGCUACUUUCUUCGAGAUUGUGCAAUGAACAAUUUUGAUGAUAAGGGAUCGUAGAGCCUCGGGUGACUAGCAUUAAGAUAGGAAGGCUGUUGCCGCCCUUGUCCCUUGCUGCUAGGUUGCCAUGGUGGCGUCAAUCACUGGCUUAUUUAGAACAAUAGUUAGUGGAUUUUGUGAUAAUGGUGAGGGCCGAGAGUGAGAGGGACGGGGUUGGGAUUGGUCUGAUGCAUGCGUGAAAUUAUUUCACCACUUCAGAAAAUAUGGCAAAUUGCAUUUCAUUAGAGAUUGAUUUACAGCAAAUUGCAUGAGUGAGUGGUUCAUGCAUUUUUCAUCAAGUCAUACAUUUUCUUGGUUAUGACAUAAGGGUAAAUGUACUGGUUGGUUGCUUCAAGACUUAAUAACAGACACUAUGACAAUGGCUGAAGAGAUAUUAGAUCUACCUUCUUGGCUGGGGGCAUUAUGGGUGGCGCACGCCUCAGCCCCCUUGAUGGCCGUGGUGGAUGGACAUGAACACGAGGGGGGAUCAGGGCGGAGAGCAGGGUGGUUGGCGGAGGACUCAUCCUUGGCAGUUCAUGGGAAAGUACGGUGUGAAGCAGAGGGGGUGCCAUGGCGAAGGUGAGGUAGCCGUCAUCCGGUCAUCUGUACUCCUAAUGUCUUAGUUGGUAGUCUCCGCUCACCGGUUAAAUUUUGUCCCACCAACACUGUUUUUUUCGUCCUCCCUCCCACCUCCCACUCCCAGCUAUUUCCACCGGCUUUAUUUUAUGUGAUCUGAAUCUGAACGAGUCUUAAAUUUUGGUGCAAUGUGAAAGGAGGAAAAUGGUUGCCGGAAAGCAGGUAGAUCUACACCUUGAGAGAUGGCAUUUUGCGGUACAAUGUUUAGGUAAGGAUAUUGUGCUUUCUUCUGAAAACUCUAGACUGUCGACAAGAUUGAUUUGUGUUCCAUUUUUAAAAAAUUACUUAGAAUCCUGCUUCUGGCAAUACUACUAUGACCUGGCAUACCUCGUGAUCAUGAGAGGGUGACAAGUUCCUGAUCCCCAAGAACACCCUCAUGUGCGGCUGUCGUUCAUCGGACAAGACAUCUCUGACGACUUAGCCACACAGCGAACCUAAGUUUGUCAUGGGAGGAUGUCACCUUGGACUGGAGCAACAGACGUCAAAAAUUUACCAGGAAAAAAGGCUCACAAAUAAGAGUGACCCAAACACAAAUUGUCGUACGUUUGCAAUUAAACUCUUAGUAGCCGCUUGAUUCUUACUAUUGUUACUUUGGUGGUGGGUAUAAUUAGUCAUGUAGUAGCAUCUUAGCUUCAUCUUAUUUCUUAAGAACAUAUCUAGCUAUCAGAUCUUAAAGAGUACACCAUAAAAAUUGAAACGCCUAUCAGCUUCAUAGAAGAAAGUUAGUCUUAUGAUAGAAGAAAGGCCCAUCAGCCCUUACAGUGCCUUAUUGGUUAGCGACUGCUUUUCAGGCUCAACUGAUUACUGACUACGUCCAACAACAUAUGACUGACAUGACCAAGUAGAAGUAAAUUUCGUUGUGAUCAAGAUGGUGCCUUUAUUUUGGAAAACACGAUUGAGAUGGGUAGGCGCAUGGGCAUCUCACCGGAACAAAUAGACAUACUGAUUUCACUCAUACACAGGUUGAUUAUAUUAUACGGUCAACUCACGAAGUAGCCGGAUACCUUCUGCUUGAAGUUUGAAAGCCAUUAGCAUGCUAAAUUAUAUGGAUGUGCUGGUCUUGACAUGUGUGCACGUACAUUGUAAAAUAAACUUGAGUAAUGAUUAAUACCUUGUUUACUCUUUGUUUGCUUUACAGGUAUUUGGAGUAUCUAUUAUGUUUCAGAAUUUCUUGAACUAUGGUAUCUCCAUAUCNNNNNNNNNNNNNNNNNNNNNNNNNNNNNNNNNNNNNNNNNNNNNNNNNNNNNNNNNNNNNNNNNNNNNNNNNNNNNNNNNNNNNNNNNNNNNNNNNNNNNNNNNNNNNNNNNNNNNNNNNNNNNNNNNNNNNNNNNNNNNNNNNNNNNNNNNNNNNNNACAAUAUACCAAUAAAAAUUUAGCGCUUGGCUGUACAUAUGAAUGUUAACUUUGUUAAAAUAAUUCUCCCUUUAUAAGAGAAGAUUUCCUAGUUCAAAUAUAUUUUUUGAAAAAAUAUAGUAUUUUCUUGACAAACCUUUUGAUUCUAUUUUAGUGGUGUGUUUAUGUUGCUUUGGGUCUCUUAUCACUCAGAUCAUUCAUCAGAAAAAUAUUUAAAAAAUAAUUCUAUUUUGACGUUUCCUUUGUGUUCAUUGUUCCAUCAUAGUAGUUUAGGUGCACAUGAAACCAGACCAUAUGUUUCAGUUUCACUCUUUGGACCAUGAUGGUGGUAUGCAAGGUGGGCUAGAUCGUAAUGCUAAAAGAAUCAAUGGAGGUUAUUGUAUAGCUUUUAGAUUCUCCAAAAAAUAAUCUAGCAGAUGGAUGAUCCUAUUAUCACGUAUGGUGGUGCUGUGCAAGGAAAUGGAGCAGCAUGAUGGUAGCUAAUGCUGUUAUUUUCACAUGUAAGAUGUAUGAGCUUCAGUUUGUCAUGCUAUUAUCAUGUAUAGUCAAAAAUGAUUAGUUUAAUCGGAAUUUAGAGUUUCAUGCUUAGUUCUCUAAAAUAUUGUUUUUAUAUGUAAUUCCUGCAGAGUGUAGUAUAUUGGGAGCCAAGGCCGAGUAGCAAGCCAUGUGUCACCGCAAAGACAGGAGAGAGAUUUAAUUAAUUGUAUUUGCAAGAUUUGGUCUUUCCUUCUUGUUUUCCUGGUCAUCUCACAGGUUUUAUCACUUACAUUUCCUUCUAUGGUGGUCUGAUCAUUGUACUUUGGGACAUUGUACUUUUAGGACGUAAUGUGCACUUCUGGUUGUUAUUUUAAAUUGCUCAUGUCUUGAUAUGUCUUUCAAAUUCUUGACAUCUGCGCCAGUAGCCUAAACCUCCAUGGCAUGCUCCAUCGGAGUAUUUUGUUUGUUGUACAAUUUUCAAGUGCGACCUUCCAAUUUAUUUUUUUGUAACUAUAAGGUUUGGCACCUCAGAUAAGUUCUUGAAAUACCAAUGUCAUAUUUCAAUUAGAAAAUAAGAUUUAGUUUGAUCAUGCAUGCAAUUGUAAUAACCCUACUUUGAGCUUUUAUGUACUGGUUUAAAUAGUUAAAUCUUCUAGAUUCUUUUGCAUAUUUUCUUGGAAUUAUACU
Molecule: long non-coding RNA, 4081 nt
Filed under: Triticum aestivum (bread wheat)
Lineage: Eukaryota; Viridiplantae; Streptophyta; Magnoliopsida; Poales; Poaceae
Description: long non-coding RNA (TAES_LNC019734)
Source: RNAcentral